RNAcentral lists this ribosomal RNA (246 nucleotides) under Triticum aestivum (bread wheat). RNAcentral's name for it is "partial small subunit ribosomal RNA". Lineage: Eukaryota; Viridiplantae; Streptophyta; Magnoliopsida; Poales; Poaceae. The record is from RNAcentral.
AUGAAAGGCAUCUUUUGGAAUUGUAGGGGGGCAGGUAAGAAAGGCAUGUCUACCUGCCUCACGGAUAUGAUUUGUGCCAAUGAGGUAGGUUUUAUUGGUUUACAAGAAACUAUGAAGGGAUCUUAUAAACAGAAGAUAGACCCAUACCAGAAAUUCCAUUGGGAAUGGGUUCCCUCGAGGGGGAAAUCGGGAGGUAUUCUUUGUGGCCUCAAUAAAUAUAAAUUUGAUGUUCUCGGCUCUAAAUAG